Molecule: ribosomal RNA, 500 nt
Filed under: uncultured bacterium
Lineage: Bacteria
Description: partial 16S ribosomal RNA
Rfam family: Bacterial small subunit ribosomal RNA
Source: RNAcentral
AUUGAACGCUGGCGGAAUGCUUUACACAUGCAAGUCGAACGAUGAAACUUAGCUAGCUAAGGGGAUUAGUGGCGAAGGGGUGAGUAAUAUAUCGGCACGUACCUUGUAAUGGGGGAUAACUAGUCGAACGAUUAGAUAAUAUCGCAUACUCUCUGAGGGCAAAAGUAGGGGACCUUCGGUCCUUGCGUUAUAAGCGGGUCCGAUAUCUGAUUAGCUAGUUGGUGGGGUAAUGGUCAACCAAGGCGACGAUCAGUAGCUGGUCUGAGAGGACGACCAGCCACACUGGGACUGAGACACGGUCCAGACUCCUACGGGAGGCAGCAGUGGGGAAUUUUGGACAAUGGGCGCAAGCCUGAUCCAGCCAUUCCGCGUGAGUGAAGAAGGCCUUCGGGUUGUAAAGCUCUUUCGCAAGGGAAGAAAACGUACAGUCUAAUAAAGUGUGAGGCUGACGGUACCUUGAUAAGAAGCACCGGCUAACUACGUGCCAGCCGCCGCCGUAA